AAGACUAAAUGGUUGGUUCUUGUGCAGGCACAGGCUAAAGAUAAUGAGAGAUUUCCAGAGACCCUGCCUUGUCUAUUACGCUUCAUACGCAACCGUCUGGUGCACAGCCGAGAAGAAAUGAAAGAAAUCAACGUGUUGAAGCUCUUCCCUGACCUAGUUGUCACAGCGUACAAGUGUGCUAAAGAGAAAGACUGGGAGGUUAGGGGUUUCCUGCCCCUGGUUUCUUCAGGAAAGAGAAAAGCUGAGGAGGAGGAUGACGCGCAGUGAACCAAGACGUGUAGAUGAGCCCUUGACAAGUGGUCGUGUUUGAUCAUUGUCAUAACACCUUUAAAUCAUCAAAAUCCAAGGCAGGCUCAAGGUGGCCCUGGAAAGUCAUCUACCCCUUGUCAUUAACCCCAUUCUAAGCCAACUCCAGCAGAGGCAGGUUCUUAAUGACCUGGAGCAGGAGGUGGUGAUGAUCAAACGCACCAGUGUGGAACGGAACUUUGUGCUCACCAUGUGUCAGUACUUGGACUCUGUCUUGUCUGAUUCUGUGUUUUGACAUGUCCUGUGUUUUUGUUGUGGUAGCAAUGCGCUACCAUGUGCUCCGCUCCUUCGCCUGUCUUUCUUCUGUUUCCCAUCUGUUCUGCUCAUCACCUGUUCCCAAGGAUUACCCUGCCUAUUUAAGCCCUGUCUUGCCUCAUGUUCCCUGUCAGAUUGUCUCAACUGGAGUGCUUGCCUUUUCCGUUGUCUGUGUUUUUUUUAAUUGUGCCUUUUUGAGUUUGUUUUUUAAUCUGUUUUUGCCUACCUGCUUGUCUGCCAGCCUGCUUGUUUUCUGGAAUAAAUCCUUUUUCUACCGA
This is a long non-coding RNA of Clupea harengus (Atlantic herring), 839 nucleotides long. RefSeq lists it as uncharacterized. The record is from RefSeq and is a predicted model, not a curated record. The transcript is spliced from 4 exons. Lineage: Eukaryota; Metazoa; Chordata; Actinopteri; Clupeiformes; Clupeidae.